RNAcentral lists this long non-coding RNA (34624 nucleotides) under Vitis vinifera (wine grape). RNAcentral describes it as "long non-coding RNA (VVIN_LNC006705)". The record is from RNAcentral. Lineage: Eukaryota; Viridiplantae; Streptophyta; Magnoliopsida; Vitales; Vitaceae.
UUUAUUGGGUGUAUAAUUUUCCAUUAAUGAUAACAAGCAUGAAAUAAAUUUCAAAUCUAACCUAAUUAUUCAACAAACAUGCACUGUGAACUUAAAUAACAUUAUUAAUUUUUCCAAAAGUAAUUGGUUGAUAUAAUUAUAAGUGUAUUUAUCCAAAAAUACUAAAUUAACUCACAAUUCAAAACCAUGCAGAAGGUUUGCCUAACAUGGAAUCUUUUUAAGAUUUCAUAUCUUCAGUAAACUACUUUUGCAUCAGAAAAAUAGAAAUAAAGGGCAACACUUUUAGAAGACUGACAAUAGAAUGAAAUAAAUGGAGUCAUAAAAAAUGGAGAGAUUGCACUCCUGGAAUCUAUUAUAGAUGACAUGCUUGAAUUAAAGAGCACAGAAAUUCUUUUGACAUCUUUUAAUAAGUAUAACAUUCUCAUUUUCAUGUAUAAUUUAUCAAGUAUGGUUAUAAUGUCACUUGCUCUGGCAAUGGUACUCCCUUUCAAAGUACUUUUUCAAACUAUUGAGUCUAGCUAUUUCAGAUAUGAGAAGAAUAGUGCUACCUUCAAUAAAGUUGAAGAUGACUCUAUCACUGUCACUCCAAACCAUUUAGGUUUCCAAGCUUGAGUAGCUUAAAAUAUUGCAUCCAAUGAUAGAGAUGUCCAAGCCCCACCAUUAUCCCUUUUUACAUUGAAUUUAUACCAAUUACAUCUGCAAUAAAAUAGUUAACCCGAGAAACUUCCAAACACAAAAUAGAAAGUUCAUUUUAGCAAAACAGAAUUAGCAAUUGAUAUCUUUAAAGAUACAUUUUUCAAACUUUACUAAUUACAAGCAUGCUUUCAGGCCACAAAGGUUCAACUAAAUUAUAAUAUCAAUGGAACAUUGUAUUUUCUCUAUGCUAAGUCUAUCAAUGGUUGACAUAAUAAUCAAGUGUUCUUGUCUAUGUUGUGCUUCGGUUCGAGUGAUAUUUAGAAAAUAGUAUAAAUCAUAGGAAUAUCCUACUGUUUUGUCUAUGCUAAUACAUACACAGGGCAUAGAGAAGACAAGGAGUGUAGAAAAUCAAUGAUGAUGCAGUCAUGGACAGUGGGAGAAGGAUUACCUGAAUUGAAAAGAAAGCAAAAUUCCUUUCUGCAUGAGUCAUCUAAGAGUAUAAAUUUUUGGGUCAUGUGAAAUUUUAGGCAAAUUCAAGACUUGUCACCUUUGGGCUUUAGGCCAAUGAAUAAUCUCAAGUUUCGAAUCUGCAAGAAAAUAGUAACUAAAUCAACCCUAGAGUUUUCCAAAACUCUUAGAAUGCAAAACUUUAAGUAACAUGAUUAGCUUGGUCCUCAAUUACCAAUUAAGGACUUGUCUAAUUGUACAUUAAUUGGAAGAUGAAAAAUUUUCAAACUCAGUGAUCUAAGAUUUUUCCAAAUAGAUUGGGAAAAAAUGAUAAAAAUUGAAACUAUUAAAAACAAGAAGAAACAUUGGAUUGCAAACCUGAAAUAUAUUGUAGAUGACAUGCUUGAAUUAAAGAGUAGAAAUCCUUUAUGAAUCAGCCAUCCAUGUCAAUUUUGAGAACAUGUUUCGUUUUGUGUCUCAAACUAUUAAGUUUGAGUACUUUCAGAAAUGAGAAAAAUGAUGCCACAAAUUGUCUUUCAAUGAAAGUAAAAAUGAUCUCAAUACCAUUAAUGCUUUACUCCAUAGCAUUUUUAAUUCAAAAGGUCAAGAAACCUGAAAUAAAGGGUGACCAGAUUGUCAUAUGAUUCAGUAAGAUGCACUCCUGCAAAUUGUUGGUGUUCUACUACAUAUAAUAAUUAGAAAAAUCAAAACUCCAAAAAGAAUAUGAAAGUCUUUAACAAAUUGAAUGGGAAGUAUUAAAUUAACAAUCAAAAGUUUUAACAUGUAAAAAGCAGAUGGAAGGCCAACAACGUAUAUUUCCCCCACCUCCCCCCCCCUUUAUACAUGUUGGUGCUUAUGAGAAUUAGGAAAACAAAAUUUUAAACAAAGUAUUUAAACUCUUAGAAGAUUGAUUGUAAGAUUAUAAAAAAUGAAGCCUUCAAAAACAGGAGAAAUGUUUGAUUACAAACCUAAAACAUAUUGUAGAUGACAUGCUUGAAUUGAAGAGAGCAAGAUCAAUUCAAGAAUCAACCAUCAUUUCUAGUCGGCAUCAAUUGUGGGAACUUGAGAAAUUUCAGGAGGUCAGUCUUUGAGUUUUCCUUUCGGCAUGUUUCUAAGCAUAGACAGUAGGCUCACAACGCAUCUUUUCUGGAAGUGCUUUCAUAUCAGGGCAGUCAACAACUGAAGGCCAAACCAUAGAGAUAGCUUUUGAGGCUUCAAGGGUAGUGAUUAGGAAUCACUUGAGACACACACAUUAGGACACAACAGCUUUGAAUUUUCAAUAGCUUGAGAAAAGUGAGGUGUGGAAUCGCUGCAAAAGACAAUCCUAACUUUCCAGUUACUGAAGGGAAGUGGGAUGUUUCAGCCACAAUGUUAUCUGUUUUUGCUUACAACACUAUCAGGUUUUACUUUGAUGCGACAACAAUUAUAUCUGCAAUAAAAUAGUUCACAUGACAGUUACACGAUCCAUUUAAUAAACAAGAUUACAAAGGUGCACAGAAUUCUUAAUAGAUAGAUUGAAAAAUAAAAGAUGAAGUAGCCAUCAAUAACAGGAAGAAGGGUACCUGAAAUAUAUGGUUGUCAUCAUCCUCAUUCUCUAAUAGAUAAAGUUCUUCUCAAUGGUUGUGGCAUGCUGAAUACGUUGAGACAGAGACAUUGUUCUCUACACAAACAGUUUACAGUCCUCGAGAGAAGGGAGGUGUCACAGUUCCACCUCUGGCAGAGAUAUUUUGAGAUUUCCAUGAAGAGGAGGCCAAUGUGAACUCCAAUCAGCUUUAGUUUCUCACUUAACUUCUUAAUUCUGCUACAUAUGAGUAUCAAUAGAUCAUAACUAAAAACAUAGUACAGAGUUUUUAAUAAAUUGAUUGAAAAAUGAUAAAUGACUAAAGGAUCAAAGCUUAAAAAAAGAGAAAUUGCAAACCCGGAUAAUGAAUAAAUAUUAUGGAUGAGACACAAACUAAAGAGAUCAUAGAUUGGAGAGUAUGGUGGAAGUGAGUUAACUCUUUCCAAAUUGUGUCAAAUUUAAUGGCUUUUCUAAUUGUACAUUGAUUUAAAGAUGCAAACCUUUCAAACUUAUCAUUUUAUCAAACAGUUUGACAGUAAAUAAUAAAAAUCGAAGCUAUUAAAAGCAAGAAGAAACAUUGGAUUGCAAAACUGAAAUAUAUCAUAGAUGAUAUGCUUGAAUCAAAGCACAUAAAUAAUUUAUGAAUCAAUCAUCCAUUACCUUUGAAGCUCAAAUUCUGUAUUGGCCAUCUAGUAUAUAUGAAUUUUUGGGCCAUGAGAAAUCCUUAGACCAAACCAAACUUUUGGCCGUGAUUUUAUGCUGGGGAAUUGAAGAAUGCAGGAAAUGAUUUCAAGAUGGGCCAAGGAAUAAUCACAAACUUCUUAAGUAAAUAAGGUGAAUCUACUAUAAAAUAGUAAUUAAAUCAAGGUCGAUCUUUAAUUAUAAUUUUAUACCGUCAUUAGCAAUUGAAUUGAAGAGCAAAAUUGUCAAACUUUCUCAUUCAAGCAUUUCAUCAUAUGGACAAGGUGCGAACAUUAAUAAUAAAAUCAAUUUCUGCUUUAUAUGCUAAUAUAAUCAACUUUUGCUUUAAAUAAAUUACUUAAAUAGAAUUCAUGUUAUUAUAGGAUAUUGAUUGUAAAAUCAAUAAAAACGAAGGCAUAAAAGAAUGAGAAGAAGGGUACAUUUCAGACCUGAAAUGGCUUUCUGCAUCGGACCCAUACCCAAUCAAUACUAAUGUUUGGGACAUGAGCAAUCUUGGGCCAAUCUUCACCAUUUUCCCUUUGGCAUCUUCUGGAUAAGUGUGGACAGUAGGAGAUUUCGAGUAUGUGGAGGGUUGCGAGGGAACGCAUCUCUUCCUGUAGUGAUGUCAAUUUAGGGCAGUCACAAAUUCCAAGUUGACACGAGGAAAGGUUGCCCAUCAAUAAGUUGUACGGGGACAUGAGCAAUCUUGGGCCAAUCUUCACCAUUUUCCCUUUGACAUCUUUCGAAUAAGUGUGGACAACCAGAGAGUUGGAGUAUGUGGAGGGUAGUGAGGGAACGCAUCUCUUCUGGCAGUGAUGUCAAUUUUGGGCAGUCACAAAUUCGAAGCUGAGUCAGCGAGGAGAGGUUGCCUAUCCAGUGUGGUAAUGUUGCCAAACGAGUGCAGUUCCAAAUUUCGAGAGUUUGCAGAGUGGAAACAUGUUGAUGAAGCUCAUCUGGGAGUGUCAUCAAAUCAUCUAUCCUUUCAAUAGACACAGACUCCAAUGAAGAAGCAGUGGCCAACAAUGACUGCCGUAGUACCUCGUCUCUCACUUUCAUCAAUUUUAGUUCCUUGAGACAAGGUAACGAAGACGCUUGCACGGAUGUGAGCUUAGGGCAAUCGAAGAUCUUCAAACUAGAAAGAAGAGGAGAUGAAUGCAGUUCCAAGGAUGCCAGGUCACCACAAAACCUGAUAUCUAAUCGUGAAAGAAGAGGAGAUUGAGGCAGUCGUAAGGAUGUCAGCUUAGGGCAAUGGUGGAUCUCUAAAAUAGAAAGAAGAGGAGAUGAAUGCAAUUCCAAGGAUGCCAACUCGUCACAAAAGACGACCUCUAAUUGUGAAAGAAGAGGGGAUGAAUGUAAUUCCAAGGAUGCCAACUCAUCACAAAAGUAGAUCUUUAAUUUUGAAAGACAAGGAAGAGAAGGAGGUGGGUGUGUUGGUAAGCCCCUCCUCCACAAUUCCUUUAACUUUGGCAUUCGAUUGACAUUGAGGUUUUCAAGAGAUGGGAAGAAUGGCCCUUCUGAUGAACACUCCAUGUACUCCACCUUUUCUAGAUCAUCAAGCUGUAGAGACUUGAGGUGAGGGAGUCGGACAAAGCAUGGCAGAGUCUGGCAUCUUGAACAUCCUUCCAAAUUAACUGUGGUGAGGUUAGGGAGCAUGCUACUCAACCCACCAUUCAUCAUCCAACUUGGAAACCUAAUUCCCCCGUAACCUUCUAUGCAAAGCUUCUUUAGGUUUCGAUGUGGUUGUAGGCCUUCCAGCACUGACUCAACAUCCUCACUGGACUGAGCUCCUGAGCGCCGCCAGUUUAAUCUCAAGGACUGAAUGUGCUGUUUUCCCCCCAAAUUUGCUUCCCUGGAUUCUAGCACGACAUCCCUCACAUUUUCAAGCCCUUGAAUCCAUAGCCCUCCUCGGAGGUUAUUAAGCUCUUUCAAUUCACUCAGUCUACCGGCUCUUCUCACAUUUCCAACAGCAAAUACUGGUAGGCUUUGAAGCGAAGUCAGCUCUCCUAUUCCACAUGGCAUAUGACCCAAAGCAUGACAGUCAUCAUUUUCCAAGUGUCUAAGAUUGAUCAAUUCUAUUGUAUCUUCGGGAAAUUUUAUUAACUUAUAGCAUCCAACAAGCUUUAAUGUUUGCAAAUUCUUUAAUCUUGUAAUACUAUUUGGGAGUACUUCAAAUGCAUUGUACGAAAGAUCAAGAUAUCUUAGAUUACUUAAUUUGCCCAGAGAUUUUGGUACCUUAUAUACAAUGAAAUUAUUUAAGCUCAACACACGUAAAUGCUUAAAACUUGAAAAAUCUGUACUUUGAAUUGAAUCAAAUAGAUAUUCUUUAUAUGUUAUAAUGCUUAAAAAGGUCCUUAUGUGUUUUACCUUCAAAGCCUUCAACUUGAGAUUCAUUGAUUUAAACAACGAUAUAUGAUGAACUUCUUUUGAGAUCUCCUUCACAUCAUCUUCUAAAAUAAGGGACCCUAUAACUAAUUGUGCAAGGGCAUGGAUGAGAUCAUGCAUUUUGCAACUCAAUAUAUUAUUAGAAUCAUCUUUUCCAAACUCCUCCAACAAUGAUCUUGACAAUAAUUCCUCAAAAUAUUGAUGCCCUACAUUCUCAUCUAAAGGUUGAAUAUAACCCUGUGCCAUCCAUAAUUGCACCAACAUGUUUUUCUCAAUUUCAUAGUCUUUUGGAAAUAACGCACAGUAAGUAAAACAUGGCUUCAAAUAGAUUGGCAAAUCAUUGUAGCUUAACUUCAACACCGAUAAAACAUUAUCAUUUCCAGCUCCUAGUGAUAGCAAAUUUCUAUUAUUUUUUAUGGACAGCCAAUGACUUUCUUCUGUUUUCAGGCGCAAUAUUGUUCCCAAUGUUUUGAUGACAAGCGGAACUCCCUUACACAUAUUUACAAUUUCUUUUCCCAUUUCCACCAACUUUGGAUGCACUUUCUCUGGUUCUUCUGUGAAUGCUAUUUUUGAAAAUAAAUCCCAAGCCAGGCUGUCUUUCAACCCUUCCAAAAAAAAGGGAGAAUUAAUUCCCAUUAUUGAUGCGACUUUACUAUGUCGGGUGGUCACCAAAAUUUUACUCCCCUUUCCAACAACCAUCAACAAACUUUUCAAUUGAUCCCAUUUUUCAGGAUUUUCAUUCCAAACAUCGUCCAGUACUAGCAAGCAUCUCUUUUGACUAAUGUUUUCAUGAAGGAGAUUUUUUAAACCAUUCAACUCCAACCUUUCUACAUCUUGGUUACACACUUCUUUUAAGAUUUUUUUAACCAACGACUUCACAUCAAAAUGAUCAGAAACACAAACCCAUAUUCUAGGCUCAAAACAUUGCACCACUUUCUCAGCAUUGUACACCAACUGGGCAAGGGUGGUCUUACCCACCCCCCCAAUCCCAACAAUCGCAACCAUGGAAGGAAUUUCUUGAUUAUCAGAUGACACCAACGACUUUAUUAUCUCCUCUUUGUUUUCUUCUCUUCCCACAAUUUUAGAGGUCAACACAAAUGAGUGAGUCUCUCUCCAACUACUCUCCACCUCCCUCUGAACUAUGUUCCCUUGAACAAGUUUUAGCAGAUUCAUUUCUUUUACAAUUUCAUCAACCUCUUCUUUGAUAUUCUUGACCCUACUACUCAUCUUAAAACUAAAUACGAGUUGAUUCGAAGAUGAGAAGAAGUCACUGACCUGCCUUGCUACUCCCCCACGCUGCAGCUGAUGGGUUGCAAAGUCAUCCAACAAGUCAUCAGCAUCAUACACGACAUCUUUGAGCCUCCUCACCCAAGUUUUUACUGCAUGGCUUUUCUCCUGCUUCUCCUCAGCAUCAAGAAGUACACCCCUGAUAGCGUCCAGUUUCUCCGUAAGCUUCGUUAACUCUUUUGCCACACCAAACGCAGAUCCAAUUUGUUGAAUAGCCGAGGAGCCUAACUUGGUUAAAACGUCAGCCAUAAUAUCGAAUGGGAUUUGUUCAGCCAUUUUUUGAAGAGCUGAAACAGCAGGAAGACCAAGAAAGUAUGGUAAGAGAAGGAGAAGUUGAGAGACUUGUAAGAGAGAAUACCACCAGACAAGUAGUGAUGAUAUACACACAGCUAGUGAGAGGAUUCUUGAAAUAAGUACGAAAGUGGAUGCUUUUAGUAGAAUAGAGGGGUUUAUAAAGCAAGGUGGUUUACAAAAUGAGAAUGACACCAUCCUCAAAGAAAUAGUAAGUUAUUUUUUGAGGGCAGGUGGAAGGAACUAUUUUUAAGAAAAUUGGACAUUUUAUCACACGUAUAUAUGUAAACAAUUGACGGAGAUAAAAUUUGAAACAAAACCUUUGUUCACAACUAUUUAUUAUAUAGAAAAAGCUCAAAUAAAUUGAUGAUUUUAUAUCUUAGGCAUUUUAAAGCAAGUAGCUUAUAUAGAAAAUCUUAUAGAGAUUACUUAUAAGUCCAUGUUCAAAGCAUUGGAAUAAAAAAUGGGAAUGUAAAAUUAAUUUUAUUUUAUUUUAUUAAUUAAUGUCUUUAGAUUAUUUUUAAAAUAAAUAUAAAAAUAAAAAUUUAAAUUUUACUUUUAUUGAUAUUUUAAUUUUCAUUUAUAUAUGAUAUUAUAAUUGGUCUUCAUUCUUGUUUUUCUUUCAAUGCGAAAUGUUAAUUGAAUAUCACACCAAAUGUUAAUUGACCCUUGUUUCAUUCACAAUCAAAAUAUGAAAAAAUAAAAUAAAUAUUGGUGAUUGAAUUUUAUGAAUGAAAUUUAAUUAAAAACUUAUGAAAUAUUAAAAAUAUUUCCAAAAAUAAGCAAUACAGUAAUAUAUGAUAAACCACAUAAGAUUAUGUCCAAUUAAAUCAAAUAAUAAACAAUUUGAAUUAAUACUCAAAUUGAACCAUAAUCAUAAUUUAUAGUAAUAUUAAUUUGGUGACAUACCUUAAGUAGUGGUUGAGGUUGAUUUGUAAUAAAUCUGCAGCUUCAACACAAGCCUCAAAAUUAUAAAGUUUUGAGAGAAAUGAGAAAAAAAUUUGAUGCAAUAAUUAAUACGAGAUGGGGAAAGCUUUCAAGUGGAAUGGAGAGGAAAUGGAAUAGAGAAGAAGCAUUUAUGCUGGGAAUCAAAAUAGCCGUGUUGGGAAAUGUUUUUGACUGUUGAGAUCGAAAUCCAACCGUUGGAUUAUGAAAUUGCCACCGGAAAAAACGUUUCUGACCAUUGGAUGACAUCAUGGAUCAUUUCAGCCGUUGGAUGGGAAGACGGGUGUGAGGAGGGGGCCCCAACUUCUCCUUUGCGUGUAAUUGUGGGUUGGGAAUUGGGGAAAGCGUGUGCAUGUCAGCAUUAAGAUGCCAAACUGACAUUUCAUCACAUUAAUUUUUAUUUUUUAAUGCUUUGAAAUUAUAAUAAAGUAUUCGAAGGACACCUAUUGAAAUAAUGAAAAGACAAAGAUAGGAAUCUGACAAAGCAAAGUGAUAUAAGGCAGCAUAUGAGAUCAAAGUAACGUGAACAUAUACAAAAAAAGGUAAAGCAUCAAGUGGAGAAUAUGGAGGUGAAUAGAUGCAUUCCAUUCAACAUCAAGUGGAGUAGGAAACUACCUCAAAUCACUUCCCAAAGAUCCUUUAAAGGAAUAAACUGAAUAUGGGUGAUAAGAUAGGCGUUCAGUUGCUCCAGAAUUGGAUAUAUCAAAUUUUUUUAAAAAUGUAUCAAAUUUUAUAAAAGAUGUACUAGAAUUUUUAAAGAAUAUACCAAAUUUUGUAAAUGAUGUACCAUAAUUUCCAAAGUCCGUUUCAAGGUGGGGAAUGACCUUCAAUCACUUUUCGAGGGUCUUUAAAGGAAGAAAUGGAUCAUGGGAAGGGGAGAUAGGUGUCUUGUUAGCUCAAGGAAUUGAUGUAUCAAAUUUUUUAAAGAAUGUACUUAGGGUUUCAAAGUCCAUUUCAAAGCAGGGAACAACCUUUAAUCAUUUCUCAAUGGUCCCUAAAGGAAUAAACAGACCAUGGAUAAUAACAUAAGGGUCCUAGUAGCUCAAGGAUUUGAUGUAUCAAAAUUUUUUCGGGAUAUACCAAAUUUUGUGAAGUAUGUACUAAAUUUUGUAAAAGAUGUACAAAAUUUUGUAAAUGAUGUACCAAGGAAGGACCUCCAAUCACUUCAUGAAGGUCUCCAAAUGAAGAAAUGAAUCAUGAAAGGGGAGAUAGGUGUCCCAUUAUCUCAAGGAUUGGAUGUAUUAAUUUUUUUAAAGGAUGUACCUAGGGUUCCCAACUCCGUUUUGGAGUGAGGAACGACUUCCAAUCACUUUCCAAAGAUCCCUAAAGAAAUAAACGGACCAUGGGUAAUAAGUUAGGGGUCCUGGUAGCUCAAGGAUUGGAUGUACCAAAUUUUUUUAAGGAUGUACUAAAUUUUGUAAAGGAUGUACCAAGGGGACCAAAGUCCAUUCCAAAGUGGGGACUGACAUCCAAUCACUUCUUAAGUGUGUCCAAAGGAAUAAAUGGACCAUGGAAAGGAAGAUAGGUGUCCCGUUAGCUCGAGGAUUAUAAAUAUCAAAUUUUCUUAAAGAUGUACCUAGGGUUCCAAAAUCUGUUUUGGAGUAUGAAAUGACUUCCAAUCACUUUCCAAAUAUUCCUAAAGGAAUGAACAGACCAUGGGUAAUAAGAUAGGGUUCCUCGUAACUCAAGGAUUGGAUGUAUCAAAUUUUAUGAAGGAUGUACCAAAUUUUGUAAAUGAUGUACCAAAUUUUGUAAAAGAUGUACCAAAGUUGCCAAAGUUCGUUUUGAGGUAGAGAACAACCUCUAAUCACUUCCCGAGGGUCUCUAAAGGAAGAAGUAGACCAUGGGAAAAGGGAUAGGUAUCCCGUUAGCUCAAGGAUUAGAUGUAUCAAAUUUUCUCAAGGAUGUACCUAAGGUUCCAAAGUCUGUUUCCGAGUAGGGAACGACCUCCAAUCACUUUCCAAAGAUCCGUAAAGGAAUAAACGGAUCAUGGUUAAUAAGAUAGGGGUCCCAGUAGCUCAAGGAUUGAAUGUAUCAAUUUUUUUUAAGGAUGUACCAAAUUUUGUGAAGGAUAUACCAAAUUUUAUGAAGGAUGUACCAAAUUUUGUAAAGAAUCUACUAAGGGGGCCAAAGUUCGUUCUGAAGUGGGUAACGACCUCCAAUCACUUCCUAAGACUGUCCAAAGGAAUAAAUGGAUCAUGGGAAGGAAGAUAGGUGUCCCAUUAACUCAAGGAUUAGAUGUAUCAAAUUUUCUGAAGGAUGUACCUAGGGUUCCAAAGUUUGUUUUUGAGUAGGGAACGACCUCCAAUCACUUUCCAAUGAUCCUUAAAUGAAUGAAUAGACCAUAUGUAAUAAGAUAGGGGUCCUGGUAGCUCAAGAAUUGGAUGUACCAAAUUUUUUUAAGGAUAUAUCAAGGUUGCCAAAGUUUGUUUUAAGGUGGAGAAUGACCUCCAAUCACUUCAUAAGGGUCUCCAAAUGAAGAAAUGGACCAUGGGAAGGGAGAUAGGUGUCCUGUUAGCUCAAGGAUUGGAUAUAUCAAAUUUUCUCAGGGAUGUACCUAGGGUUCCAAAGUCUGUUUUGAAGUAGGGAAUGACCUUCAAUCACUUCCCAAAGAUCCUUAAAGGAAUAAACGAACCAUGGUAAUAAGAUAAAGGUUUCGAUAGCUCAAGAAUUGAAUGUACCAAAUAUUUUUAAGGAUGUACCAACUUUUGUGAAGGAUGUACCAAAUUUUGUAAAUGAUGUAUCAAAUUUUGUAAAGAAUAUACCAAGAGUGCCAAUGUUAGUUCCAAGGUGGGAAAUGACCUCUAAUCAUGACCUGAGGCUCCUCAAAUGAUAAUAUAGACCAUGGGAAGAUAGAUAGGGGGUUUCAAUAGCUCGAGGAUUGGAUGUACCAAAAUUUCUUAACGAUGUACCAAAUUUCCUUAAGGAUGUACUUAGAGUUUCGGGGUAAGGAACGACCUUUAAUUACUUCCUAAAGAUCCUUAAAAAAAUAAACGAACCAUGGGUAAUAAUAUAGAGGUCCUGGUAGCUCAUGGAUCGAAUGUACCAAAUUGUUUUAAGGAUGUGCCAAAUUUUGUGAAAGAUGUACUGAAUUUUGUAAAUGAUGUACCAAAUUAUCUUUAGGAUGUACCUUGGGUUCCAAUGUUCGUUCUAGGAUGGGGAACAACCUCCAAUUCCUUCUUGAGGGUCCCCAAAAGAAUAUAUAAACCAUGAGAAUGGAGAUAGGGGUCUUGGUUUCUCUAAAAUUGAAUAUACCUAAGAUUCCAAAGUUUGUUUUGGGGUGGGUGAGGACCUCCAAUUACUUUUCGAGGGUCCCAAAUGAAUAUAUACACCAUGAUAAGUAUGAUAGUGGUUUCAGUUCCCUUAAGCAUGAAUUUAUCUUUUUUUUUUUUUUUUUUUUAAGAAUGUACCUAUUUUUUUUUAUGAAAUUAAUAUAAAAGGUUAAAUAUAAUUUAUUUUUUUUAUGAAAAAUAUAUUUUAUUUUAAUUAAAAAUUAAAUAUUUUAACUAAACAAAAAGUUAGAUCCACAAUCAAACUAAAAUCAUAAGAAAAAUGAUAAAAGCACCAUCACUUAUUGUGAUUUUGAUAUGAUAAAUUUAAAAUGAAAAUUAAAAGAAAAAUAAUGUAAAUAAUAAAAUAGUAUUACAAAGAUAUUUUUUACUUUUAUAUGUGAUAGAAUUUACAAAAUAAAUAAAUCUUUUGUUUAGUAUUAAUAUAAAAAAUCUUAUAUCAUAAACUUCUAAAUAAUAAAAUAGAAUUAUUUCAUGAAUUUUUUAAUUUUUAAAAAUAAUUUUGAAUUCAAAAAACCAAUCUAAUUAAUUACAUAUAAAAUCAAAACAUUUUAUAAUAUUAUGUUCAUAAUUCAAUUCUACAUGAGUACAUGGAAUGAAAAUUUUGACUCAUUUUUAAAAAAUUAAACUUUAUUAAUUAUUCAAUUUAAAUAAAAUAUUAUGAAAAAUUAUUACUUUAAAUAUUAAUUAUUAAUUUUUAACCCAAAAAAUGAUGAAGAUGUUAAUAUUUUUCUGUUUCUAACAUAUACUAAAAUAGUAUUUUUUUUUUAUAAAAAUAAAAUAAAAUUAACCUAUGAUUUUAUUAUAAUAUCAUAUAUAAGUAAAAAAUUAUAAGUACUCUUUUGUAAUAGAUACUAAACCUUUGUUUAGGUUAUAUUUGAUUCCCAAAAAUUUAUUAAGAAAAUUAAUUUAUUUUUUUCACUAUUUUUAUCAUAAAAAAUAUAAAAGAGAAUCAACUGCAAUUAAAAAUUAGUUAAACAUUUAUAUAUUUUUAAAUUAUAUAAUCUUUAUAUAAAAAUAAAUAAAUAAAUAAAAUGAAUUAAAAGAGCCAUAAAAAAAUAAUUUAUUAACCUUAAAUUUGUUUAGUUUUCUUUUUUUUCCUCUAAUAUUCAUAAACCAAAUAUAGCAUUAGUAAAUGACUUAUUUAAUUAAAAAGGUUAUUGAAAACCCAAUUUUGUAAAUCUAACCCUUCAUUAUUUUUUUGACAUCAUUUUAAAAAAACACUCUCAUUUUUUCCUUAUAAAAAUAAUUAUUUCUUUUAAAGCAUUCAUGUAAAUACUUAAAAUAAUCAAGGGUAUUUAUAUAUAAAAAAAAUGAGUUACUCUUCAAAUAUAAGGAUUAUUUUCAUCAUUUUUAACUAAUUAGGUUUUAAUAAAUUGAGUUACUCUUCAAGUAUAAGGACCGUAUAAAAUUUUGUAUAAUGGUACAAAAUAUAAUGUACAAGAAAUUGUAUUGAAUACUUUAAAAAUAUCACUCAAUUUUCUAUUAGUAUAAAUAAAUUUACAUUAUAUUAGUGACAAAAAAUUUCCCUAUUACUCAAUUACAUUAAUACUAUAUUGCAAAAUUAAAUUACAAUAGAAAAUUAAUAAUUAUUGAAUUUUUUUUUCAAAUAAUCAUAAAUGAUUUAAUAAUACGGAAUGAAGGGUAUGUAUUUACAUGGUCAAUUACAUUUAUAUUUGAAUCAAUCUUACUUCAUUAUAUCAUGUAGAUUUUUUUUUAUAUAAUAUUUUACAAUUAAAUUACAAUAGGAAAUCAAUAAUUAUCAAAACAAACUUUUUUAAAAGAAUUUUUUUAUAAAAAUAUUCAUUUAUUUAACUAUUAUUUAUUUUAAUUAAAAAAACAUAUAAAUAAGUGGAAACAAAAGAUGAUGAACUUAGGUGAGAUCGUGUUUAUUGCUUUUUUUUAAUACAAUUUAUUUUUAUAUGGUAACAAUAUGAAACAUAUAAGUGAGUGAAAAAUUGAAUAUUAUAAUUUUUAUAUAAAUGUGUUUAUAUAUAUUUAAUUUGAAAAGUAAAUUUUUUUCAUUUUAUACAUGGUUAGGUUAAAAUUUCAAAAUGGCUUUAAAAGAUGAUAUUGGUUGGGAGCAUGCAGAACCUAUUGGUGAUAGUAGAAGAACCACAAAGUGUAAAUAUUGUAGGAAAGUUAUACAUGGUGGUAUAACAAGAUUAAAGCAACACAUCGCACAUAUCUCUGAACAAGUGGAAGGAUGUCCACAUGUACCGGUAGAAGUGUCACAUAGUCUUAGACAACAUAUGUCUAAUACUUCAAAAGAAAAAGCACAGUUAAGGAAAAAAAAGAACGACUUUUGAAUUCCUUAAAUAGAGAAAAUUUCUAUGAAAUUGAUGAGGGUGAUUCUGAUGAUGAAAUUGAGGAAGUUGCUAUGACUAAUUUUGAAAGGAGACAAAUGAAACAAGCAAUGAAAGAAAAUCGUCGAAUUUUUGAAGAAGGUGGACAAGAGCAUCAGAAGGGUGGUAGUUCCUCACAAUCUUCUAAUGUUAGGAUUAAGCACGGACUGACACGUAGCUUCAGUGUAAGAGAAGGAGCUAGCAUACCUCCAAAAGGAAUUGAUCCUUACAUGUUCCCAUCAAAGCAGAAAUCAAUAAAAAGCUUGUUUUCUACUGAAGGCGUGAAGAAAGUGGGUAAAGCUAUUUCUAAAUUAUUUCUCUUUAAUGCAAUAGCCUUUAAUGCAGCUGACAGUGGGCCUUACUAUCAAUCAAUGAUUGAUACCAUAACAGAAGCAGGUCCAGGCAUCAAGGGUCUCACGGGAUACCAAAUUGGAAAUACAUAUUUGGAAGAGGGGUGGUAAGAGCUUGAGGUAUACAUAACAACAUUGAAGGCUAAAUGGCCUAUAUAUGGGUGCACAAUCAUGUGUGAUGGUUGGAGUUCUAGGACUAGAAAGUCUAUCAUCAAUUUCAUGAUUUAUUGUGAUAGAAGUAUGAUAUACCAUUCUUCAGUUGACACUACCAACAUACCUAAGACAGCAGACUACAUCUUUUCCCUUAUGGAUAAAGUUGUAGAGGAGGUUGGGGAGGAAAAUGUUGUUCAAGUAGUCACUGAUAAUAAGGCAAGUUUUAAAGCAGCCGGUAUGUUGUUGAUGAAAAAGCGGAAGCAUUUGUCUUGGUUUCCUUGUGCAACCCAUUGUAUUGAUUUAAUGCUUGAAGAUAUUGGAAGCAUGAAGCAAAUUAAGGAGACAUUAGAUCAAGCUAAGAUGAUCACAUAUUUAUUUAUAAUAGCUUGAAAGUGGUGAAUUUGAUGAAAGUGUUCACCAAGGAUAGAGAUCCGUUAAGGCCAGGAAUAACCCGUUUUGCCACUGAAUUCAUUUCACUUGAGAGUCUUAUACGUUAUGAGGCUGAUUUGAAGAGAAUGUGCACAACAAAUGAGUGACAUGAAUUUAAUAAAGAUAGGAGCAGAAAAAGUCUAAGAGAUAAGGUAUUCAACCUUAUCUUAACUGAUCGAUUUUGGAAGAAAGCAGGGAAAGUUCAAACCAUCAUGGAAAAGUAUUGAAAUUGGUUGAUCAAGAUAAAAAACUCACACUAUCAAUCAUUUAUGAAGCAAUUGAUAGAGCUAAAUUGGUUAUCAAGGCAUCAGUUAAGCAAUGGGAAAAGUAUUGGGAAGUCAUUGAUAGAAGGUGGGAAGGUCAAUAGCACAAACAUUUGCAUGCUGCAGGUAAUAAAAAAAUUCUUUAUAUAUUUUUUAUUAUUUUUUUCAAGUACAAAUUAUUAUAAACUGAUUAUUAUUUAACUUAUGGCAGAUUAUUUUUUAAAUCCAAUGUUCCAAUAUUCAAAGCAUUUCUCCAACCAUCCGGAAAUUAAAAUUGGAUUAAAGAAGGUUAACAAGAGAUUAGAGCCAGAUUUGGAUAGACAAGCAAAAAAAACUAGAUAACAACUUGAAUAAUCAAAAAAUAUUUUUUAUUCUAAAAAAUAUAAAAUAUAAAAUUUUCAGACAAUAUUUUUUAAUUGAUUUUACUUUUUUUUUUUAAGAAUUGUUUUAAAAAAUAAUUAUAUAAAUUUACAUAAUAAUUAAAAAUAAAGAUUUAGAUAUAAAAAUUAUUUUUAAAACAUAUUUAAAAAUGAGUUAAAAAUAUUUUAACUUCUCAAACAUAUUUUUAUUCCAAAAAAAAACAAUAGUUUUAAAAUAUUGUUCUUAAAAAUAAUUUUUUAGAACUGUUUUUAAAAACGAUUGCCAAAAGACUUAAGUUUAUCAAAGCUCCUUUUAUUAUUAUUAUUAUUAUUAUUAUUAUUAUUUGACAUAUAUUGAUGACAUUAUGAUAAAAAAAUUAUUUAUUUUAAAAAUAUUUAGUAAAAUAUGAUAAUUUUAACAUAAUUUCCUAACCUACAUUUAAAAAAAAAAUUAGCAUCUUAAAAGCAAUUUCCAAAUUCAACUGGAAAUACAACUUUCAAAUGAAAUUUUCAAUUAUUAUAUUUUAAAAAUAAUUUUUAAAAUUAUUGUAUUUUUUUAAAUCUCAUAUAUUAACAACCAUUUAAAAUAUAAGUAAAUAUAAAUUCUUGUACAAAAGACUAUGAUUCCUGACCAUAAAUAAGGCUAAUUAUCAAGAAAAUGAUCAUUAAAUAUUAUGAGGAUGGAAAAUUAAGUGAAUAAAAACAAGAAUAUAUCCAAAAAAGAACAUUAGCUUUGCAAACACAAAAACGUGGAGUGGUUGAAUUCUUGUGGAGUGGUCCAAAUAUAUUAUGGAUUCUCUCCACCUUUUUCAAGGAAAAAAAAUAUUUGGGUUGAAUUAUGGAUUUAGGUAGUUUUCCUUUUCUUUUUCUUUUUUCAUUUCAAGGAGAAGUAGUAAAAUUCUUACAUUUUAAUUAUUAUUUGAGUAAAAAAAAUAGCUUCUAAAUUCGUGACAAGACCUUUAAAAAUAUUUUAAAAAUUGCCUAUAAGUUUGAAUACUCUAAAUAAUUAUAGAAUUAACAAAAAAUAUUGAUGGAUAGAAAUUUUAUAAAUUUUUUAUUUUUAUUUUUCAAGAUAAAAAUAAAAUGAAUAUAAAUUAAUAAUAAAAACAAUAUAUUAUCAUAUGAUACUAAGAAAUUGUUUUGGGUUUCCAUUUAAUUUUGUAACAUUAUCCUGUUGAUGACAUGUAACGGUCAAUACUUACGAUGGCUCAGGCCAGCUUUAUUUGGGAUGGCCUACAUAUCCCAAAUAUCACAAAAUGAUUGAAAUUUUGAAAUUUCACAUGCCAGGUACCCACAUGACUUAUAAUUGAAAUUUCACAAAACGAUUUAUCAGAAGAACACAUUAACAUAUCCCAUUAAAGCUUCAUGAAAUAUAUUUCAAACGUAACUACAUGAAUCACACUCACAGACCAUGGAAAACAUUUAUCACACGAGAAGUUUUUAGAAUGGUGAUUAAUUUUGCUUCUGAAACAAUCCAGGAACUAGAGAAGGAGGUGUCAUUGGACAGUUAUGAAUAGCAAGCCUCGAUGUUAACUUUUCACAUUGAUGUGCCCUAUUCGAGUCUCUCUAUUGGUGCUACACAUGUCAUGGCAUUGCGUCCAUGGCUCACCAAGUCAUCUCCUUGCACAAGACAUUGAGUCCUUGUGCCACCUUGUUAUUGUCCAUGUCAAGGCUAACAAAGUCAAAUCCAUGUGAACCUACAAGAAACACCUGUAGUAUAAAUGUGAAUAGAACAUAUCAGAUAAGUAUCUUUGUUGAAAUACUUUUGGUGACAUAGUUUCCAUUACUACUUUCUCCUAUCGACAUAAUUUUUUUUUAGACAAUUAUACUUAGACUCUGUUUGACAUUGAAUUUAGGACGUGUUUUUAGUCUAGAAGUGUUUUUGAAAAAAAAGAAAAAUUAGGUGUUUUACAAAAUUUAAGAAACACUUUUAAAAAUCUGAAAAAUCACUUAUAGUAUUUUUUUGGAAAAACACUUUAUAUGUGAUUUUUAUAAAAAUACUUUCAAGGAAAAUACUUCCACUAGAAAUACUUUAAGUAGCAACACUGCCAAACACGCUCUUUUUCCAAUUUAUUAAAAUAAUAUAGCAGUGCCCAAAUAUGAAGAAGAGGAUGCUAAUUUAGCAAUAGAUGCUCAAAAAUAAAUUUUAAACAUUUUACAAUUCAUCAAAAUUUCAGAAAUACAUGGACUUACAGAAAGGCUCUUCAUGAAAAGAUACUCCACAUCCUCUACAGAAAGUUUGGCGCCCUCUGCAAUGAUAUUCAAUGGAAUGGUACCAUCUUCUGAAGGACGGCUGCAAGAUACAAUAUCUCAGUUGAAUUCAGCAAUAACUUUAUGAAUCUUGCCCAGCAAAUCACAAGUGAAAUGAUAUUGUUAACAUACCUGAAGAUGAUUUCCAUCAACCUUUGUCCCCAGCCCCAGGAGACUUUUCAUCCGUAGGAGUUGGUAAAACAUGUUAUUGCUCCAAUGUGGUGCCCUCUUUGUUACCUUUAAAGCUUUUUAACAAAGACAUUGUGCAGUUCUCUUUUUGUAAAGUUUACCUGGAAACAAUCAAUGAAAGAAUAUCAGAUAUUGUGGAAACACCUUCAUAAUGGAAGAGCAGUGACAGAAUAAGCAGCAAGGCAUUUCAAAAUACGAUGCUGAAAUUUGAGACUAUAAGAAUUGAAAAACAAAUGGCAUUAUAUAGCAGAAAAUACAUUCUUCAGAAAGUUAAAAGAUUACUAGAUGACGUGAUAUUUACAGCAUCUGCCACAGGCCCAUCUCCAUGGAAACAUUGACAUGAGCAAUUGGACCAACUGAAACUUAUCAAAUAUAAAAUAUUAACCAAGUUGCUAAACCAAAGGUUUAAUGCUAAACCAAGUUGCUCGAGCCAAUACUGCACUAACACAAAUAUCCAUACCUAGUCAGCAGCAAUUCUAUUUACUGGUCUGGCAAGAGUAGCUCAAGAUUUCAAACUUCUUUUAGAUGAUGGUGCAUCCAAAUUGACAACAAUAAAGAACAGAAACUAAAAAAAUGAGUGAUCUAAUUAUUUGCACCGGAAUUCAAGUAUAUACCCAUUGUGGGCUAUACUGAGAUCCACAUAUUAUAUGAUUCUAACUUCUCAUUAGGGAGAACCUCGACCACUUCAUGAAAGUUUUAAGAAAGUGACAUUCAAAACAUUUGGCAUGGCUUACUAAGUAGUAAAUUACAGAUUUCCCCUUAUGCCUAGUCCCAAUGUGUUGGAAUGAUGAAAUUUUCCAGGUUCUAUUACAAAUUUAGUGCAAUUUUUUACUCUGCCAAAAAGUUUCAGCUACAAACAAUUUGAAACGCUUUAAUGAAUAUUCAUUCACAAAAGUCUCCUAUCGUAAUCUUUCAAAAUACAUGAAAGGAAAUGAUGCAGAACCAUCAAACCCUCAGACUAGGUCUAGAAUAAGCAUCUAUAACUGAACUUGCAUACAACAGGAUAGUAUAACAACUUCAAAAACUAGGUUUCAGAGAACUGCCAUCUAAAAAAUAUUUUAAAGAUGGGCAUAUCUUGAUUAAUCAUAAUGGCUAGUAUCAGAAAAAAGAAAAACCAAUUAAACAAAAAAAGAGGCUAGCUAAACGAAUCAAUAUAGCUUGCCAUUGCAAAGGUCUAUCAUGGAUGAAAUUGCAAGCUGCCACAUGAACCACAAAAGACAAGUACCCGUUUGACAGAUUUUAGAAUUUUCUUGACACACAAUUUGACAAUGAAUUUCUUUUGGUCAUAAAUCAAUUCUUUGGGCCAUAGGACUGACAUGUUCUCAGUAGAAUGUGAAGAAUAUGCACAACUAUAUUACAUGAAGGUGAAUUGAACUUACUUUCCAACAACGCAGGGAAUGCCCUUCCUUGAAUUGGCAGGGAUUUCGCCUUGAAACCCAGGAAUAAUUUAUGUCAUUUCCUGGACAAUUUUGGGAUCCUUACUGUAAUAACUAAGUUAUAAUAAAUGACAAGUAAAUCAUAAUAUCAAUGAACUACUCUAUCACUGCCAGAAAUUUUUUUAUUUACAUGAUCCAUUAAUUAACAAAAUUAUAUAUGAGUAUAACACUUUCAACAGAUCAAGAGUGAAAUCAAUCAUGAUGCAGCCACCAAUAAUGGGAGGAGGAUUACCUGAAAUAUAUGUAUUGUUCACAUUUGAAUUAAAACGGAAGCAAAUGUCCUUUCUGCUUUAGCCAUCUAAUAGAUAUGAAUUUGUAGGCAAUGUAAAAUCUUUAGGCCAAUCCAAAACCUAUUUCCUUCUGGCAUCCCUUUGGGCAUUAGGCCAACUUAAGCUUCUUAAAGCAAGUAAAAUCUGUGACAAACGAUAUUUAUAUGAGAGUUUGGUAUUUCCUCGAACUUUUAGAAUGCAGAACUCCAAGUAAAAUGAUAUUAAUUUAGUAAACUGCAUCAGCAUAUGGUUUGAAGAUGGAAAAAAUUUCCAAACUGACUCAUUUGAGCAUUUUGACAAAUAUAUGAGGAGCAUAUAAAUUUUGAAUACCAGGACAAAACGGAAAUAGAGAAUUUUGAAUGUAAGAUAAUAGAAACUAAAGAAAAGUUAGGAUUUCUGACCUGACAUGGAAUCCAAUUUCAUUCAUUCUUUCAUAGAUGAAAUCUAUUUGUGGCCGGUCUUCAACAGUUUCCUCUUGGCCACUUUUUUCUAAGUUCGAACAAUCAGAGACAACAGCUUUCUGUAGGCUGUUGAGGGAAGGCAUCUUUUCCGGCAGUGAUGUCAAUUCGGAACAUUUAUAUAUUUUAAGCAUUCUGAGUGAGGAGAAUCUGCCUAUCCAGUGUGGGAAUGCUGUAAAAUUGGGGCAGUUCCAAAUGUUGAGAGUUUGGAGGGUGGAAACAUGUUGGAAGCAGCUCAUCUGGGAGAGUUCUCAUAUCAUCCACGACUGCAAUAGAUAGAGACUCCAAUGAAGAAGCAGUGAUGAACAUUCCAGGUAAUAGCUCUUCCUUCACCCCGAGCAGCUUUAGAGCCUUAAGACAGGUUAACGAAGCUACUUUCAAGGAUGUUAGCUUGGGGCUAACCCAGAUCUCCAAACUAGAAAGAAAAGGAGAUGAAUGCAGCUCUUGGGGAUGCUAACUUUUAGAAUAAAAGAGUAUCAUUUAUAUUUCGAUAGAAAAAAUAAAAUUAGAAAAUAAAUUAAAUUAGUUUGAGAUCAGGAGUGUGGAGCUCUAUUGAAAAGUAUGCAAAGGACCAAUAUCAUGCCAUUAUAAUUAAAGCAACAUUAAAAAUUAUAUAAAAAAUUUUCCCAUAAGGUUUUCAACUAAACAAAAUUAUAUAAUGUAAUUCUUGUAUUAAUUUUUGUACCAACAUAUUAUUAUUUUUAAGUUACACUCUUGAAAUAAUAUUUUCGAAAACAUUUAUUUACUCAAAAAUAAAAAUUUUCAUUCUAGAAUCAAACACGCUUCUUUUACCUCUAAUAUAGAUACAACAAAUAUAAAAAGAAAAUUAAGAGUAUUUUUUUGACAAUACUUCUACUUGAAGUGUUUCUCUUAAAAAUGUCCAAAAAAUACUAUAAGUAUUUUUUUAACAUUAUAAUAAAUUAUUUUUCAUAUUUUUAAAAGUAUUUCCUAAAAUUUAUUAAACACUUAAUUAGUUUUCAAAAACACUUUUUAGGUUGAAAGUACUUUCUUAAAUCAUGACGGAACUGACUCUAAAUUUUUAAAUUGAAUUCUCUCAUUCACUAAUUAAUUGUCCUUUUUAUAACUAAAACCCAACCAAUUUAAUUAUUAAUACAGGAUAAAAUGCUUAGCAUGGGAAGCCUAAAGUCAAAGUUCUCUCGUGACUCGGUAUCACUAAUUUCCUUAGUUGCUAAUUUAAAAUGCAUUAAUGUCUCUAUUCCAAAUAUUUUUAGUAAAAGUUUUUUCUGUACAAAUGUUAUUAGAAAAAUCUCUUAUAAAUGUUUCUUUAAAAAACACUAUAAGUGAUAUUUUAAUUUUUAAAAAAUAUUUUUUAAAAUUUAUCAAAUACCUAAAUUUUUUCAAAAACAUUCUUUAAACUAAAAAUACUUCUUAGAAUAAUUAUAUAUGAACUAUUAAUAAAGUCAUUCCUCACUACAAGUUAACACUCAUCUUAUAAAAUAUUUUAUACUAACAAAGGAUAUUACAAUGAUAAUUCACUUUACCAUCAAAUAAGGGAAAAAGAAAAAAAAAAGGGAAAAAGAAACCUCAAAUCAAUUAUUUAUGGAUGAUACAAUUAGCCCUUCAUCUCAUUCUCCUUACUCUAUUUUUUAGUUAAGAAUUAUACAAAUGACAAUUCUCUCUUCAAGUUAAGUAUUAAUUAACAAUCACACAUCCUUGCAAACUUCUAUUAAUUGUGGGCCUCCCAAAAUACAAGUUAAAUUUAACAAUCCACCAUAAAACCAAAUUACUAAAAUAUAUUUUAAUAAAUAUAUUAAUUCUAAUUAUUUUAUUUAAUUGAUUACAAAAAAAAUAUAAAAAUCUAUCAUUGUAAUUUUCUUAACAAGUAUUUUUUUUAUAUAUAAUUAAAUAUAAAAAAUAUAAAUAUUAAAAAAAAUUCAUAUAUAUAUCACCAUUUAUUUUACAUUAUUGAAUAUAUUUGAAUUAAAUAAAUUAUAAUUUUAACAUUAAAUAUAUUUCAAGUUAGAAUAUAUUAUCAUCAAUGUUAUAAUAUUAUUAUAAAAUAAUAUUUAAUGUAACUUCAUAAAAAAUAUACACUUACAAAAGGACGUGAUAUUAUUAUUGAAUAUGAAAAAUUAUAUAUAUAUAUAUAUAUCAAUUUCUUUAAUAAAAUAAUAUCAAUUAUUAUCAUUUUUUAUAUUUUUUUCUAACAUUUCUAUAAGUUUUAAUCAAUUUCCAUCUUAUCAAUCUUUUGUAUCAAAAUAUCAAUUAAUAUUUCUCAAUAUAUCCUCAGUAAAAUCUCAAGUUAUCAAUAUAUCUGUCAAAAUCGAUAUUUUCAUCAUUUCUUAUGAGUAACUUUUCAAAAAUUUCUCUCAAUUAAAUACUAACUUUUGACUAACUUCUCAAAAAAUUCUCCCACUUAACAAGUAGAUCUUAACCAUUCCCUUUGACAAUUUGAGCUACAAUUUUGGGAAAACUUUUCUAAUCCCUAAAUCUAACUUGUCAUUAAAAACCCGGGUUUUACACUACAAUACCGGAAAACCUCCAAUGUCAUUGUUAACCAAUCAGUAAUCUACUGUUGAGAGGUGAAGAUAAUUCGAGGUGACAAUAACUGCAAAAACUUCAAAAUGAAUAUCUCUAAAUUGAAUAUACAACUGAUCAACUGAUCUUGGAUUCUUUUGGUACAAAAACUUCUCAACUACAAUAUUGGAGUGGCGCCAUUUCCUUCGAGUGUCAUCAGUGAUCCUAGCUCACAAUUAUCCCACCUUUUGCAUUGCCUUGUGAAAUCUGGAAAUUUUCUCUUACAUCAAGAUGAGCCAUGAGAAGCCAGACAUGAGUGAGCAGCUCUCCGCCUCGCCUGAGCUGCUUGGCAUGCUGAUUCGGCCGACAUUGACUUGCAGCGUAACAUAGCAUCUCCACCCACACACCCCUCAUCAGCUCCCACUUAUGUUCCCGGGAUUGCAGAGACUUGGCCAGCCUGCAGGCAUCAAAUAGCAGAGACUUGCUUCUAUCACCUUUCACCUGUGAUGCUGGAAAUUCAGUGCUCACUCUCAGUAAAUCUUUGCAAGCUUGGGUUCUACUUUUUAUGUGCUUUCUAUCCUUGAAGAAUUCUUUAGCCUCGGCGCAGCUGUCUCGAUAUCUAAUCUCCCCAAUUCCGUCAGGCAGCAUGAAAGGGCACAUGACCAGAAGAUACAACAUAUAAUCAGAAAGCACCUUGCACGCUUUACAAUCUGGAUUCUUCUCUGCAUCAUUCUCAUAGCAGAGAUCAGUUGCACGCUGUGUUUUUGUUUUUGUUUUUACUUGACCACCGCUUAGUCCAAUCUGAGAAAAGCAGUACAAGAAUGGCAUAGAUCUCUAAAACAAUAGCUCCAACCAGCAACAAGUACGUUAUAAUAACAUCAAUAGUCGAGUACUCUUGCCUGUCAAUGGUCAAGAAGGCUAUGAAUGCAGAAAUGGUGAAACUCAAACUAAUCGAGCGGAGGAGGCUGCCCCAUCUAGAGCAAGUCACAGUUGCCUUUGUGUAGAGAACAUCGUACAUGAAUCCAAGCUCAAUCUCAACCACUUCAAAAGCCACUUUCAAAGCCACUUCCAAAGGCACUUCUUCCCAAGCUUGUUGUUUAUGUUUCCCCUGGAAGAAAGACUGGCUCCUUUUGCGCCUCUGGGAGCUAAGAAUGAUAUCUGCAAACAAACCCUUGAAAGUUUCGAAGAAGUAAUAAGCCUGUCGCAAAAUGUCUCCUUCUGGAGGAGAAUGCACUGUCCUAGAAGUUUUACCUCGUUGUUGUAUUGAAACUUGAUAUCCCUCGGCUUUUCCUGAAGUGUACUCAUCCAUGAAUUUGGGAUAAUUAGGCCCUGGAUCAGGACGAGGUAGCAGGGCAUCUCUGAAUUGCUCACUGCUUGCAGACCUUAGAACCCAGGUCCUUUCCCCAUACUUGAUGAGUCCAGCCACAAAAAUUGGAAUGGCCAGAAUAUUAAGCAGUUUGGCCUUCCAGGACCUAAGAAAAAUGUAAAAUGUCCCUCCAAACUGGAUGACUAGUGCAAGAAAGUGUCUUAACCAUAAUUCAUUAUCCUCCAAUGAAUAGGCUGUAAUGGUAUCCGGGCCGCCAAGGUGCAGCAGCAGAAAUGGUGCCCAAAAUGCCCAUAUCAAACUGUUUGGUUGUGAUAAGUUGUCAUCUCCAUUCUCAUUGGACAGGACGCCAAUACAGACUGCUGCAAUCCAAUCUGCAGCUAAAUAAGCCAGCCAAAUGAUGAUUCUGACCCAGUUACUAGCUAUAUAUUUCCUCCUGUUACCCAAGAGUAUGAGCACAAUUUGUAAGAAAAGGCUCAAUAAAACCAAUGCGCGGAGUUCCCAUUCAUUCCAAAGUUUUGUCACACUUUCUGGGAAGAGUUCCAUCGCUCUUCUCUUAUUUACGAGGAUCAUACUGCUAAGACCUGAAACUGUAAAUAUAUAUAUGCAUACACAUAUAAGUGGUUUGAUCAGUACAGAAGAUCUGAAUUAAAGCAGAUUGAUUAUGAAAAUAGCAGAGUUGGAUUGAUGAGCUCACCCGUAACUAGCAUGCUUCCUCCCUGAGUACAUCUAAGGAUCUGAUUUUAGUAGUUGAUGCUUCUACUUUAGAGCUGAUUUCAGCAGCCCAGGAAGCUAACAGAGAGGGACUUUCACACAACUCAUUUCUCAACUGGGUGGUGCACUUGAAAAAUAACAUUGAAGAAUUAAGUGCAUCAAACAUUUUGUUAAAAGAAAACAACAACAAAAAGACAACAAAAAUGAAAGAAAACCAAAUGCCAAACUGUAUGACUUGUGACAGAUGCUUGAAACUUGAAACUGUUCUUGCUUUUAUUUUUCUUUAGCAUAUAGGAAAUUUCAUUUAAGACCCAUGAACAAAAUGGUGUACAAGGUUAACAGGAAUUAUAACUUAUUUUUUUAGUUAGAUCUGAGUCCAUGUCAGUUGAAUUGUUUAAUAAUUGUCGUUGGUGAUUAAAAUCUUUGAAAUAUCCAAUUUUUUUUUUGUUUAAGAAUCGGAUUAGUCAUUGAAAAGGGAAAAUUAUUGGACAAUGAUUCAAUAGUCAGACCAUUGAACAUUAGUUGAACCAUACCAUUAGUGAUAAAUGUAUCAUUUAUAUAUAAUUAAAAUAAAAAAGAAUUAUAAGAAAUUAAAAAUGAUAAAUUCUACAUAUAAAGACACUAACAUAAUGUACACUAGCAUAACGAAGAGAACAAAUAGAAAUGAGUGCAAUUUUGAAAUUAUAAAAACUAAAUUAAAAUUUGAUUCGUUAUAAAAACAUUUGAUAACUAAUUUAAAAUUAUUUAAAAUUAAAACUAAAUUAUAAAAACUAAAUUGAUUCGUUAUAAUUAUAAAUUGAAAAGGGAAAUUAUAAAAACAUAAAAUUAAAAUUAUUAAUUUUAAUUAUAAAAACUAAAUUGAUUCGUUAUAAUAUUAAAUUUAAAAUUUGACAAUAUAAUCUAAUCUUAAUCAUUUGAUAACUAAUUUUUCUUUUAAAUUUAAAUUUAAUUCUUGAAAUUUUCACUCUUUAAAUGGGAGUAGUAAAAAUGUCAAACUUACGAAAUUUCCGAGGGAUUUUUCGUUUUUUUUUUUUUUUGGCAUUUUGCCCAUUUUAUUUUCCGUGAAUGCGGCCAAAGGGCACUUCCAUGCGCCCACAUCAAGAGGUUCAAAACUCGGGCAGGUGGAUAUGCAGAAACAUUAAUAUAUGGGAGAACUGUGUAAUUGAGGUAAGGUCCUCCCAUCACUCUUAAUUAAACUCGAAACCUAACGAAAUAGUAGAAAUUGAGAUGAAGGAUAUUUAUCUUUAAAAAAUCUCUAAAAUACCUUUGACUAUUAAAUGAAAAAACUAACCAAUCACCUCAUCUUUCUCAUCCUCUCUUUGACUUUUUUACCCUUCUCUCACCUAUUUAAUGGUAAAACCAACUUGAAUCAUUUUUCUUCAUCAAAUUGAAUAUGAAAGAUGGUUAAAAAUUAUUAUUGCCAAAUGCAUUUUUGAAGUGAAUAACUUUUAAAUACCUCAUCAAAUAUUAUUAUUUUUUCAAACUUACAUAAUAUAUAAUAAAUAUUUUUUAAAUAUGUUGAAAAAUUACAUAAUAUAUAAUAAAUAUUAUUCUUUAUUUCAAACUUAUAUUAUUUCUCAUAUAUAUUAAAUAAUUUUUAAACACCUCAUAAAAUAUUAGUAUUAUUUGUUUGUUCUAACUUGUAAAUUAGAUAUCAUCAAAUAUUAUAUUUUUUCAAAUUUAUAGAACAUAUAAUAAAUACUUUUUAAAUACCUCAUAAAAUAUUAUUAUUAUUAUUUUUUAACUUGCAAAUUAGACACAUGUGUUUAUUAUUUCUCAUAUUAUUUCGAAAAUAAUGUAAACACUCACACGCAUAUAAAUAAAUAAAUAUAUAUAUAUAAUAUUAAUCAAGAAAAUAAUAUUUUUAAAACUAAUUUACUAACCUUUCAAUAAUUUUGAAAGUGUAAAUAGAGUAAUUGGCCGAAUUAAAGUCUUCAAAAUAUUCAAAAUUUCUCUAUUCCAAAAUUGCCUAAUUGCUCUCCACACUAAUCCUAAAUAUUUUUUAAUAAAGAUUUAAAUAUUUAAAACCAAUAAAAUAAAUACUUUCUUAUUGAAGCAAUUUUUUCAAAGUAAUAAGAUAAAAAUCAUGAAAUCUUCAAAACUAUAAUUACAACAAAUAUUUUAAAAUUUAAAACUAAUUUCAUAAUUUAAAUUAAUGAUUUAAAAAAAUAAAAAUGUUAUAAAAAUAAUUAUUUUUAAUUUUUAAUUCUAUUUAAAUAUGAUUUUUUUACUCUCUAUUGAUAACAAUGAAACUAUGUUUAUAAAGGUAAAAUAGUAAAAAUAUAUAUUUCAUUUAAUUUACUUAUAAUGAACAAUUCAAACAUGAUUAAUUUUAAUUUUAUACCCUAUGUGUUAAUUUUUGUAGGGAAUGUCUUAAUGACAUAGUUUGGUAAAAAAAAAAACAAAAACUCUCAAUAAUCGUCUUAAUGUCAAACUCAAGUUGUUUAAAAAUCGUACAAAAUAUAUUAGGAGCCUUGUACACUCUUGUACACUUAGCACAUUUUCAUUGUACAGUUAAUGUAAUACCCUUGUACAAUGACAUGAAUUUCAUAUCUCUCUUAAGUUAUAUGUUCAUGUGGGUGUAUUAAGUAUAUUUUCAAUGGUUUGGUUGAGAAAAUGGUGGAUGACUUAGUGUACACUAGGAAGGAAGGGGAAAGAGUUUUUUGUUUUGUUUUGUUUUGUUUCUUUUUCUUUUUUUUUACCACUCCGAGAAUAAGCUGUUCUAGGGGGGUGAGAUGGAACUGGAACAAAAAAAAAAAAAACAACAAGGCAUGGGUGAACUUUUUGGGGCGACCAGAUGGGACGGGAAAAGGCUGGAAAAAAAAAAUGAAAAAGGAGAAAGAUAGCUUCAUAGGCCAUCGGUGAGGAGCCUUAGAGAGAGAAAUUGAAAAGGGAGUAGGGGGGAGCUUGUCAGUUCAAUAUGAUUUCAGCAUUCUCUAGUAUUUUCUCAUUUCAUACUUUUCUAUCCUGGUUCUUGCUGUUUUUUUUUUUUUAGUUCAUUUGCUGAUUGGUGUGGAUGUUAUAGGCCACUCGUUUGUUUUGUGAGACUCUUGGUAUGCUUGCUCUAUUUUUAGAUUUAUUUUUGGGUGUUUUUGGACUUCUCUUGAAAGUAUCUGAUGCUCUGUCCCUUCCCAUAACUUGAUGUAUCAAAACCAUGCCCUCGUUUCCUCUGGAUUCUAGUUGCUCAUAUCUCUUCGACAGUCCAUGGCGUAAAGCUAGGCUCAUACUUUGUUUUUAUUACGUUUUCAUUCUUCCAUGGUUUUUUGCUCUGUUUCUUGUCAAGGGUGGAUGACGCUCCUUCAGAUGGUGAGCUCUAUCGAGCUAAUGGACGUGGGGAUAACAUAAGGAUGCAUGCAUUACGGAAACCGGUCUUGCAACUCCAUCUACCAUUCCACAUCCUUCAAUCACCACACCCAUGUCUUCCUUCCUCAUAUCCUAAUACACCCAUCCCCAUUCAUACCUUUAUUUUCCUUUAACACCCAAUACCCACUUCACUCACCACCUUUCUCAUCUUCACAAACCCACUGCCCUCGAAGCAUUAGAUCGCCAUGGCGAAGGUGUUUGCGUUGUUUCUCUUGGCUCUUCUCGCCAUUUCCAUGCUUCACACCACUGUUUUGGCUUUGCAUGGCCAUGGCAGUCACCACUACGACCAAAAGAACUAUGGUCCGGGGAGUCUGAAGAGCUUCCAAUGCCCGUCACAAUGCUCAAGGAGGUGCAGCAAGACACAGUACCACAAACCUUGCAUGGUCUUAUGUCAGAAGCGCUGCAAAAAGUGCCUAUGCGUUCCCCCAGGGUAUUAUGGUAAUAAAGUCGUCUGCCCAUGCUACAACAACUGGAAGACCAAGGAAAGAGGACCAAAAUGCCCUUGAGCUGUUCCCUUAUUUACCCUUCUUACCCAUUUUAAGUUGGCCCAUUUGAUUGCUUUAAUUUUUAAGUAAUUUCCACGUUUCCAAUUUACGUAAUUUAAUUUUUAAAGCUCUAAUUUCUCAAUAAAUUUUCUAAAUUCCAAUUUCUAAAUCCUAUUUUCAAAACUUACGUCUUCCAGCAAUUCUUCAAAAUCCCAACUUUUAGAUUUAAUCUUCAAGGUUUCCAAUCUCACAUAAUUUUCCAAAAAUUUCCAAAUUCAAAAUUCAAUCCCUUAAGAAAUCUCAUUCCUCAAACAAUUUUUUUCAAGUUCUAAUUCUCAAAUUCAUUUUUUUUAAAAAAAAAAAAAAUCAAUUUUUAAGUAAUUCUUCAAAAUUCCAAUUUCUAAAUUUAGUUCUCAAUUUCUAAAAUUCCAAUUUUCCAAUUUCUAAAUUUAAUUUUCAAUUUCCAAAAUUCCAAUUUUCACAUUUCUUUAUUUAAUAAUUAUUAUUUUCGUUAUUAUUAUUAUUCUAUUUAUUUAUUUAUUUUUAAAUUUUCAUCCUUAAACAUUUUUUUAAAAAUUCCGAUUUCCAAAUUUAAUUUCCAACUUCCACAAUAAAAUUCCAUCCUUAAACAUUUUUUUAAAGUUCCGAUUUCCAAAUUUAAUUUCCAAUUUCCAGAAUUUUAAUUUUCACAUUUAUUUAUUUAAUUAUUAUUAUUUUUGUUAUUAUUAUUUUAUUUAUUUAUUUAUUUAUUUUUUAAAAUUUCAUCAUCAAAUAAUUUUCAAGAUUCCAAUUUUCAUAACUUAAUUUUCAAAACUCCAAUUCAUAAUUUAAUUUUCGAAGCUCCAAACUCUCAAAUAAUUUUCAAAAUUCCAACUUCUUUCAAAUAUAAUUUUUAAAAUUUCAAUUCUUAAAUCUAAUUUUCAGAACUCCAAUUUCUUUCAAAUAAUUUUCAAAACUUCAAUUUUCAAAUUUAAUUUUCCAAACUUUAAUUUUCAAAUUUAAUUUUUAAGAAAUCUCAUUCCCAAAUAAUUUCUCCAAGUUCCAAUUUUCUAAUUUAGUUCUUAAAACUUCAAUUUUCAAAUUAGUUUCAAAACUUAAUUUUCUAAAAUUUGUCUUUCAGAUAGUUUGAAUCUUUUAAAUUUAUUUAUUUGAUUUGUUUAUUCACCUAAUUUAAUUAUUUUAUUUAUUCAUCUUUCAUACAAUUAUUUAUUUAUUUAUUUUAUUAUUUUACUUUAUUUUAUUCGUUCAUUUAUUUAUUUGUCAUUAUUAUUAUUAUUAUUAUUAUUAUUAUUAUUAUUUUCUCCUUUCUUUCUUUUUCUUUUCUUCAUUAAAAUCCUGAUUCGCCAAAACCUAUUCUUUUUUUAAUAAACUUGUCAUUUCUUAUUCAGGCAUGCAUCUUGUGAUUUUAUUUGGUUUUUAAUAAUCUUUUUCGUUUUUCACUAUUUUUAAUAAGCGUGAAUGAAUUUUUUCAUAAUUUCAAAAUAAUGGAAUUUAUGAUAUUAAUUCAUGCAAAAUGAAUUAGGCUUUGCUGAGAGCCCUACAUAUGAAUUUUCUUUUUCUGAUUGUCAAUUGUUGUACUUAAUGAAUAUUGUUUGAUCUUUGUCUUGCUCGUUAAUAUGCAUGUAAUAAUUUUAUACUUGAGCUAACAUUGUUUCCAUGAUAGCACACUAUUGUUUGCUACUAAAGUACGACCUCACUCCCAUUUUGCUUAUUCUUAUACAUGAUUUGCUUUAUUAUUUGAUCAUUUCAUUGGUAUCCAUUAAUUUCUUCAUCAAUUGUCACACUUGCUUCACCUUAUUUAGUAGAGACCCAUUUUUAGGGGCUUAGAGGGGUGCUACGGUCUUUACCGUACCUUCCCAAUAGGUAACCUGACUCCCGAAUCUAGACUUGGUUUUUCACAGACCACCUUUUCCAAAUAAGGAGUCACACUUACGGUUUUCUUUCUUAUUUUGUUUACCCUUUAAAAAUAAAACAAAAAUAAGUGGCGACUCCAAGUUUUUUUCAACAAAAAUCAAAUUUUCACAAAAUAAAUAAAAAACAAGUCACGUCAUCGAGUGGAAACGCAUGAGCCAAAAUGCGGGGUCCACACUUAGGGUCAAUUUUUUUUCCCCAAAUAUCAUUAUUGGGAAAAAUAUGGAAUUUUCAUGUGAGAGUUAAAUAAAGUGCAUAACAUAAGUGUACAAUCCUUGGGUGAUAAGGAAAAUGAAAAGUGGUUUAGAAUCGAUUAAAAUCAUUAACAAAGGAUAAUCUUGUACACCUUUGUAUAAUUAGUACAUUUCCCUUAUACAGUUAGUGUAAUAUCCUUAUACAAUGGCACAAAUUUCAUAUCCCUCUAAAGUUAUGUGUCCACGUAGGAGUGUUUAACCAUAUUUCCAAUGGUUUAGUUGAGAAGAUGGUGAAUGACUUAAAGAUCAAAUUUUUUUUCCCCAAAUAUCAUUAUUGGGGAAAGUAUUGGAAUUUUCAUGCAGGAAUUAAAUAAAGUGCAUGACAUAUGUGUACAAUUCGUGAGUGAUAAGAAAAAUAAAAAAAUGACUCAUAAUCGAUUAUAAUAUUUCACAAAGGGUAGCCUUAUACACCUUUGUACACUUAGUACAUUUCCUUGUACAGUUAGUUAGUGUAAUACAAUUGUACAGUGGUGCAAUAAAUGAAUAAAUAAUUUUUUUUUUCAUACAAAAAAAUAGUACUAAAUAAGGUUUUCAAUUUUCAUUUUUUAAUUAAACGUAUUUUCAAAAAGAGACAAUAUAGAAAAUAAAAAUUAUUUUUAAAAAUAAAAAAUAAAAACUAGAAAAAAUAGUUUUUGUUUUCAUCUAAAAUAAGUAAAUAUACCUUUCAACCCUUUUAUAUAAGAAAAAUUUAAUCUCUAUUAUGUAUUGAUAUAAUUCACUUCUAAAAUUAGGUCAUAUGAAAACAUUUUAAUUGAGAACUUAAAAUAAAAACUCUUCAUCCAUCCUCUUUCCUUUUCUUUUUCUUAUUUUAAUAAAUUUUCAAUUAAUUCAAAUCAUUAAAAAAAAUCCUUAAUAAACAAAUUUGUAAUAUUUCAUGUAACUUAUUACUAAAAGUCAUGUUCAAAAAGUUAUUAAAAUGAGGAAGGAAGAAGAUUAAAAAAAAUUAAACUUUUUAUUUUAUAAUAGUAAAAAAAGACUUUAAAAUACUUUUUAAUAUAAAAAAAAUUAAAAUAGUGAAUAUAUUUAUUUUAAACAGUAUUUUAAUCAUUAAAUUAUUUACUUCUAAAAUGUAAAAGAUAAAAAUAAAUGUAAAAGAUAAUUUUUAUUUAUUUAAAUUAAUAUUUUUUUAGAAAGUAUUUUCCAAAAUAGUAUUUGAAUCAUUAAUAUAAUUUUUGUUUAUUUAUAAUUUAAAAAUAAAAAAUAAUAUUGAUUUUUCAAUUAUUUAUAAAAGAGUUUAAAAAAAUAAUACAAAAAAAUCCAAAUAUAGUUAAAUAAGAAAUAAUAGUGACAUGUGAAGAAUGGUAGAAUAAAGACAAAAAUGAGUCAAGUAGGUAUUUUUGUUAAUUACUAUCUCAUACCCUUACCAUCAAUUAUGGGUGAUUGGAUGAUCUUACCUUAAUUAUCAAGCCUAUAUGGGUUGAAAACACAAUUGUCCCUUAAUAUAUUACAAUCCACCAUAAAACCAAAAUACUAAAAAAAAUAAAAAUAAUAAUAAAUAUAUUAAUUCUAAUUAUUUUAUUUUAAAUUUUAUUUAAUUGAUUACAAAAGAUAUAUAAAAAUCUAUCAUUAUAAUUUUCUUUAGUCAAAACCACAUGAUAUUAUAGAAUAUGAAAAUAUAUAUAUAUAUAUAUAUAUAUAUAUUAAUUUCUUCAAUAAAAUAAUUUUAAAAUGUCAAUUAUUAUCAUUUUUUAUAUUUUCUUUUCUAAUAUUUCUAUAAGUUUUAAUCAAUUUUCAUCUAAUCAAUAUUUUGUAUCAAAAUAUCAAUUAAUAUUUCCCAAUAUAUCCUUUGUAAAAUCUCGAAUUACCAAUACAUCUAUCAAAAUUGAUAUUUUCAUCAUUUCUUAUGACUAACUUUUUCAAAAAUUUCUCUCAAUUAAAUAUUAACUUUUGGCUAACUUCUCAAAAAUUUCUCCCACAAGUAAAUCUUAAUCAUUCCCUUUGACAAUUUGAGCUAAAAUUUUGGGAAAACUUUUCUAAUCCCUAAACCUAACUUGUCAUUAAAAACCCGGGUUUUACACUACAAUACUGGAAAACCUCCGAUGUCAUUGUUAAUCAAUCAGUAAUCUAUUGUUGAGAGGUGAAGAUAAUUCGAGGCGACAAUGAUUGCAAAAACUUCAAAAUGAAUAUCUCUAAAUUGAAAAUACAACUGAUCAACUGAUCUUGGAUUCUUUUGGUACAAAAACUUCUCAACUACAAUAUUGGAGUGGCGCCAUUUCCUUCGAGUGUCAUCAGUGAUCCUAGCUCACAAUUAUCCCACCUUUUGCAUUGCCUUGUGAAAUCUGGAAAUUUUCUCUUACAUCAAGAUGAGCCAUGAGAAGCCAGACAUGAGUGAGCAGCUCUCCGCCUCGCCUGAGCUGCUUGGCAUGCUGAUUCGGCCGACAUUGACUUGCAGCGUAACAUAGCAUCUCCACCCACACACCCCGCAUCAGCUCCCAUUUAUGUUCCCGGGAUUGCAGAGACUUGGCCAGCCUGCAGGCAUCAAAUAGCAGAGACUUGCUUCUAUCACCUUUCACCUGUGAUGCUGGAAAUUCAGUGCUCACUCUCAGUAAAUCUUUGCAAGCUUGGGUUCUACUUUUUAUGUGCUUUCUAUCCUUGAAGAAUUCUUUAGCCUCGGCGCAGCUGUCUCGAUAUCUAAUCUCCCCAAUUCCGUCAGGCAGCAUGAAAGGGCACAUGACCAGAAGAUACAACAUAUAAUCAGAAAGCACCUUGCACGCUUUACAAUCUGGAUUCUUCUCUGCAUCAUUCUCAUAGCAGAGAUCAGUUGCAAUGUGCCAGAGAAGAAUGCUAUGACUGAAGUCUUCGUUAUUGCUCAAACCUAAUUUCUCUAGCAGCACCAGAUCACCCCGACCAGUGCAUAAUUGCUUACCGGCCUCAAUAUCUGAGGCACUCUUUGAUAUUUCUACAAGGUAUUCAAAGAUCAAUUUUUUCAUUUCUUCAGAGAAAACAGCUAAAUUCUUGUGAUAAUACUUCUCAAAUAUUUGAUAAAUGUGGAACUUCUGGAGUACACGGACUUUAAUUGGCCUCGGUUUAAGGCAGAAAUCUAUUAGAUUGUAUUGUGCCAUGGUUUUAGACCACCUCUGAUUCGUCGGGAAUAGAAAACGCAAUUGGAAGCGAGAGAUGGCUUUAAUGAUGAGCUGCACCGCUGUGUUUUUGUUUUUACUUGACCACCGCUUAGUCCAAUCUGAGAAAAGCAGUACAAGAAUGGCAUAGAUCUCUAGAACAAUAGCUCCAACCAGCAACAAGUACGUUAUAAUCACAUCAAUAGUUGAGUACUCUUGCCUGUCAAUGGUCAAGAAGGCUAUGAAUGCAGAAAUGGUGAAACUCAAACUAAUCGAGCGGAGGAGGCUGCCCCAUCUAGAGCAAGUCACAGUUGCCUUUGUGUAGAGAACAUCGUACAUGAAUCCAAGCUCAAUCUCAACCACUUCAAAAGCCACUUUCAAAGUCACUUCCAAAACUUGUUCAGAAUGUUUCCCCUGGAAGAAAGACUGGCUCCUUUUGCGCCUCUGGGAGCUAAGAAUGAUAUCUGCAAACAAACCCUUGAAAGUUUCGAAGAAGUAAUAAGCCUGCUGCAAAAUGUCUCCUUCUGGAGGAGAAUGCACUGUCCUAGAAGUUUUACCUCGUUGUUGUAUUGAAACUUGAUAUCCCUCGGCUUUUCCUGAAGUAUACUCAUCCAUGAAUUUGGGAUAAUUAGGCCCUGGAUCAGGACGAGGUAGCAGGGCAUCUCUGAAUUGCUCACUGCUUGCAGACCUUAGAACCCAGGUCCUUUCCCCAUACUUGAUGAGUCCUGCCACAAAAAUUGGAAUGGCCAGAAUAUUAAGCAGUUUGGACUUCCAGGACCUAAGAAAAAUGUAAAAUGUCCCUCCAAACUGGAUGACUAGCGCAAGAAAGUGUCUUAACCAUAAUUCAUUAUCCUCUAAUGAAUAGGCUGUAAUAGUAUCCGGACCGCCAAGGUGCAGCAGCAGAAAUGGUGCCCAAAAUGCCCAUAUCAAACUGUUUGGUUGUGAUGAGUUGUCAUCUCCAUUCUCAUUGGACAGGACGCCAAUACAGACUGCUGCAAUCCAAUCUGCAGCUAAA